GGGAUCUGCGGCCUCAGGGUGUGUCCCGCCUCUCCGACCCGCUGAGUCCCCGGGUCCCGGGUGUGUAGCCUCGGGAGAAGCGUGUUGUCCAGGCGGCACUGGCUGCACCCCUACUCUGUGCUAGCCAUGGGUUAAGUACACAUAGGUGAUGGGAACCCGAGGUCUUGUUCUAAGUUGGAGUGAUGUGACUUAAAUGAGAUGAUUAGACAGUAGAUGAUUUGGAAGCGGAAAACGUGUAUCACACCAGUAGCAAGACAAUUACAAUGGCCGCAAGAAGACCCAGUGACAGCUUAACCUAGAAGAAUGAAACAGGAAUGGAGAAGUAAAGUCAAAUCCUUUUCAUUCCACAUGGACAGGAUGUGGUUUAUGCCAGUUCCUCUCUCCCAGGAGACAGCCCCGCACCACACAACAUUUCGCUCAGCGGUGCGGCUGAGCACUGACAAACUCAAUCUGUGGAAGGAGCGGUCUGACAGCCCCAGGCUUGAGACUGUGUCUCUCCCAAGUACUCUGUCAUCCUGGUAACCAUGGAGACCAUGACGAUCGAUUAGAUGCCAUCUGAUCUCCACCUCAUAAAAAAAGGCAGCAGAUGGCAACCAGGCCACUAGACCUGUCUCAAGAGAGAUGAAGGGGAAGAGCAAGGGAAGGAAGGAGGAGAAAGGAGAGGAGGUGGGGGUGGGUGGGUGCAAGGAGAAGAGAGUGCACAGAAAUGUUAGAAACGGAUAGGGAAAUGUUAGAAAAGAGAACAAACAGAACCAGACAAACAAACAAAAAACAAGGAAAGCAGGAUAAGGGAAAGAGGAGACAAAAUGGAGAAAUGAAACCAAAACUCAACUGUGCCAUGGACCUCAUAGUGCGCUGUGGGAAGAAAAUCUGAAAAGGAAAAUCAGUCAGCUAUCCCCUAACUUUCUUCUACACAGGUCUCAAACAGUGGCAAAGAUGGUCACAGAACCUGAGCCACAGGGCUUCUCUGAGGACCCUUCACAACUGUGUCCUGUGGCUUUCUGUGACACCUGGAGUUUGAUGUACCCACAGGAGAAGUCUGAGACCUGGUUCUCAGAAUGAAUGCCCCUGAUUUAGGCGAGACCUUUCAGACAACUGGAUGAAGACCUACGAUAUGAUGUCUGUGGCUCCCUCUCCAGCAGUGUUUUGGUCAGACCUCAAAGAAAAAAGUGCUAAGUAGUUCUGCGGAGACCAAGAUGAGAAGAAGAGAAGGACUGUUACAUCAAUGCUGGUGGACAUGGGUGUGUUAGCCAGGCUCCCAGAGGAGUGUAACGGCUGACAUUCAUGAAGUGUGUCAGACACCGUUUAAAACAAGAGAAAAGAGAAACCACCUAUAAUCGCGUUAGUUUUACCAUAAGCAUGAUAUAUGUACAUGGGUUGUAUAAAAUGCAGCAUUUUAUGGAUAUGCACACAUGAUAUUUUAAGUAAAUACAGUACUAGAUUUUAAAUAUCAUUUGUUUAGCCUAUGCUUUUAGACAUUAUAUUAUGACCACUUUUCCAUGUUUAUUAAUUAUUCAAUCUUAUUUAAUGACAAUACAGCAUUCUACUUUUCCAUUAUGUAUUUAACUACUUCUUUAUUAUUGGACUUUCCUAGAAUUUUGCUACUAUAUAAUAAUACUAUGGUAACCAUUCUUAUAUGAGAGCCUUUCGGUGUUCCUCUUUGGCCUUAGGUAAAAACACAACUACUAAAUCAAAGAGUAUCGUUUCCUUCAAAGUUUUGAAGUUAAGUAUAACAUAUAUACAGUCAAGUGAAUAAAUCUUAAGGAGACAGCCAGUUGAUUGUAAAUAUUAUAUAAGUAUAGUUAACAUAUAUAACAUUACAUAUAUAUGAUUACAUAUUUAUUUACUUAUAACCACUACCUAGAUCAAUAUAUUAAAAUUUUUACUCCAGGAUGCUCUUUCAUACCCUUUUCUACUAUCUACACUAUGUUCUUGAGCUUAGUAUAAAUGGAAUGACAGGGUGUGUAUUCUUUUGUUUCUGACUUCUCUCACUCAACAUACUGUCUGUCAUAUUGUUCCUGCUGUGUUGUAUACCAAUAGCUCAGUCUUUUCAUUUCCAUGUCAUUUUCUGAUUUUAAUAUAGAAUAUUUAUGGAUUAAUUUUGUUUUGAUAGACAUUUGGGCUAUUAUGAACAAAGUUGCCAUGAAUAUUCUUGUACAUGUCCUCUGUCAUUCAUAAUUUUUAAAAUUGAAACUAGGAGUGGAAUUACUAAGACACAGAGUGGGCAUGCUUUUAAAUGCAGGGCAAAUAUUUUUACAGCUUUGGAGGGGGUUGGCUCUUACACUGGCCUCCAAAUUAGCACACACUAACUUGAACUCCAACUGUCUAGUCUCAUAAAUAUGCCCUCCCCAUCCCUUCUGACCAACAGCAAGUGGGCAUAUUUAUCCUUUUUAAUCUUUGCCGAAUUAAGAGAUGAAAUGGUAUCUCAUUAUUUACAUCGUGUUUGAUGACUGUGUGUGUUAAACCACUCUUACUAUGUCGUCAGACAUUUUUAUUCUUCUGUAAACUGCACACACACAUCACUGCACUACUUGCUUUUAGCUUUAGGGGAAGGCAAAGAGAGGAAACAUAACCCAAAUAAUCUGUGCAGAUUCACUGGCAUGGUAAGAAAAAAAUUACUGGCACAGAUGACCAGAACACGUUGAUGUUCUUAGCAUAAGUUGAUAUCCUGCUCUACAUAUUUCAAAAGGAAGUUUAUACACUUACAGAACAUCUAUUAUUAAGCACAUUUACUCUUUAAAACAGCCCCAGUCGUUCUGUUUUUAUAGCUUCAUUUAAUUUCAGAAAUAGCAGUUCAUUUUCAGAGAAACCUAAAAAGAUACCAUUCUGCCUAAUUUUGCAAAUUUAUAAAUGAAGGAUUUGCAUGCAGUUCAUGGUUAAAAACUAUUUAAGGAUUCUGACAGGGAUCUAAACCCAAGAUAUUUCAAGUCCAAAGUAAACUGGUUUUUCUCUUUCCUUUAAAGAAGAGUGCUAUGGUCUGAAUAUUUCUUCUCCUCAAAAUUCAUAUGUUGAAAUCCUCACCCCUGAAGCGAUAGUAUUGGGAAAGGGCCUUUUGAAAGAGAAUAGGCUGUGCCUUCAUAAGUGGGGUUAGUGCCUUUCUGAGGGCCGGGGCUUUAGCUCAGUGGUUCUGCUGCCUGCCUUGCAAGUGCAAGGUUCGGAGUUCAACCCCUGGUACCAAACAUAAACAAACAAACAAAUAAAAACUAUCUGAAAAUGUCCCUCACUCCUUCUCCACAUGAGGACCCAGAAGAGGCGCCAUCAUGAACAAGGUAGUGGCCCUCGCCAGACCUGGAUCUGCUACACUCUUGACCUGGAAUUCCCAGCUCCUCCUUUGUGGUAUUUUGUUACUGUAAUCCAAAAAGACCAAAACAGGCAAUGAUUCUCCUUUUCAUUUUUUAAACUAUCCAAACCCUGGGAGGGCUUCUGGAUCCCAGAACCCUGCUCUGAAGUCCCUUCUAUCCCAGCCAUCAUGGCUUGUUCACCACCAAAGGAGAAUCAGGAUCUCUGUGCUAUCGAGGAGAGACGGAGAAUAUGAAUAAAUCUAUUUUAGUUCACUUCAUCCGUUUUAGAAGUUUAAUUUUAUUUGUAUUUUAUUGUGUGUGGUACAUGUUUGAAAAGCUAAUAAUAGUUUAAUCAACUGAUAGGGUGAGAAGAAGUAGAGAUGGAUCCAGGAUGUUUUCCUCUUGGUAAAUUAUUGCCUUUGGCCUCUGGAUUGGUUGGCUUUCGUGUCACUGGGGCAGAAGAUCCAACACCCUCAACUGAAAGGAGGAGGGGUUGAUUUGGUUCAUGGGUUCAGUGGGUUCAAUCCAAUGCAGAGAUGGAAGGCGGAAGGACUUGGUGGAGGAACGCUGCUCAGUCCGUGGCACUCAGGAAACAGAGUGGGGAGGAGCCAAGGAGAAUGCACCCUCUCUUCUGACCAGGCUCCACCUCCAAACACAUGAGACUCUGGGGGACAUGAUAGAUCUAAAUAGUAUUUACAUUCAUGUAAUUCUAGAGGCUUUUUAAAAGAAAAAAAAAGACAGUUACUUCUACAAAAAUGAGAAAAUAAUUUGCUAUAAAUGACAUAUUUAAAAAUAUUUAUAACGCCACAAUAACCAUAAUAGUUCGAAACAAAAUGAAGUAUACUAUUUUUGUUAUUUAACUUCUCUGA
This 4150-nucleotide long non-coding RNA is filed under the name Fukomys damarensis (Damara mole-rat). RNAcentral describes it as "lncRNA (ENSFDAG00000024795.1)". Lineage: Eukaryota; Metazoa; Chordata; Mammalia; Rodentia; Bathyergidae. The record is from RNAcentral.